This 420-nucleotide ribosomal RNA is filed under the name Larkinella terrae. Its description in RNAcentral is "bacterial SSU rRNA". It matches the Rfam family "Bacterial small subunit ribosomal RNA", at positions 1124 to 1533 of the family's 1533-position model. Lineage: Bacteria; Pseudomonadati; Bacteroidota; Cytophagia; Cytophagales; Spirosomataceae. The record is from RNAcentral.
GGUCCGGCCGGGAACUCAAAGGAGACUGCCAGUGAUAAACUGGAGGAAGGUGGGGAUGACGUCAAGUCAUCAUGGCCCUUACGAGUAGGGCUACACACGUGCUACAAUGGCGCAUACAAAGAGAAGCGACCUCGCGAGAGCAAGCGGACCUCAUAAAGUGCGUCGUAGUCCGGAUUGGAGUCUGCAACUCGACUCCAUGAAGUCGGAAUCGCUAGUAAUCGUGGAUCAGAAUGCCACGGUGAAUACGUUCCCGGGCCUUGUACACACCGCCCGUCACACCAUGGGAGUGGGUUGCAAAAGAAGUAGGUAGCUUAACCUUCGGGAGGGCGCUUACCACUUUGUGAUUCAUGACUGGGGUGAAGUCGUAACAAGGUAACCGUAGGGGAACCUGCGGUUGGAUCACCUCCUUACCUUAAAGAA